UAAUCUAUUACAUUUAUAUAAAUUGGAAGUGAAUGCUAUAUAUGACUCUCUAAUUAUUUAAUCUAAUAGCUUGAUCGAAAUGGAGUCGAACCUAGCCCAAUAGAGUGUUGGAGGAAGUUCCAUGUAAGUAAAGCAAAUGACGGAAAAGAAGAACAUUGGAAAAGUGACAAGGCUAGGGAAAUUUAUGAUGAUCUUACUGAAAAAAAGAAUAGAGUGGAAGAGGUGUUUGGUGAAGCUGAUGAUUGGGAAAUAUAUCAGAAAGUGAUUGGUGGGCCUAGUCAUGGUCGUGUACUUGGUUUAGGUGCUGGGGUGAAACUAAAAGAUUACACUUCACCUAACCAAACUUGUAAUAAGCCUACAUGUUUGGAACAAAAAGAAGAUUAUGAAAGAGUGAAAGGCCAAGUUGAAUCUCUGACAGAUAAAUUGGACAAGUUGACUCAAAUUGUUCAAAGUUUGCUGCCUAAUACCUCAGACAAUUCUAAAGCAAGAAACUCACAUUCUGUGGACAAUAUUGCAACAGAUUCAAGUGCACAUCAUGAUGAAGAUGGUACUGAUGAAGAUGGUGAUGAAGAUGUUGCUGGUGAAUAUGAUGCAAACUCUAAUGAGGACUUUUAUUAGAUAUAUUGUUAGCUUCCUUGCUUAAGAAAUGAUUAUAUCUUUGUUUGAACAUGUAUGAAUGAUUAACUA
Long non-coding RNA from Rosa rugosa (rugosa rose), 687 nucleotides. RefSeq lists it as uncharacterized. The transcript is spliced from 3 exons. NCBI's taxonomy places the organism in Eukaryota, Viridiplantae, Streptophyta, Magnoliopsida, Rosales, Rosaceae. The record is from RefSeq and is a predicted model, not a curated record.